CCCUAUCAACUUUCGAUGGUAGAGUAGUGGUCUACCAUGGUUUCAACGGGUAACGGGGAAUAAGGGUUCGAUUCCGGAGGAGGGAGCCUGAGAAACGGUACCACAUCCAAGGAAGGCAGCAGGCGCGCAAAUUACCCAAUCCCGACACGGGGAGGUAGUGACAAUAAAUAACAAUAUAGGGCUCUAUUGGGUCUUAUAAUUGGAAUGAGUCGCAAUUUAAACCCCUUAACGAGGAACAAUUUGGAGGGCAAGUCUGGUGCCAGCAGCCGCGGGUUAAAUUCCAGCUCCAAUAAGCGUAUAUUAAAAGUUGUUUGGCAGGUUAAAAAAGGCUUCCGUAAGUUUGAAACCUUUUGGGCC
This 357-nucleotide ribosomal RNA is filed under the name uncultured fungus. RNAcentral's name for it is "bacterial SSU rRNA". It matches the Rfam family "Eukaryotic small subunit ribosomal RNA", at positions 310 to 656 of the family's 1831-position model. The record is from RNAcentral. Lineage: Eukaryota; Fungi.